GACGAACGCUGGCGGCGUGCCUAAUACAUGCAAGUCGAACGCUUCUUUCCUCCCGAGUGCUUGCACUCAAUUGGAAAGAGGAGUGGCGGACGGGUGAGUAACACGUGGGUAACCUACCCAUCAGAGGGGGAUAACACUUGGAAACAGGUGCUAAUACCGCAUAACAGUUUAUGCCGCAUGGCAUAAGAGUGAAAGGCGCUUUCGGGUGUCGCUGAUGGAUGGACCCGCGGUGCAUUAGCUAGUUGGUGAGGUAACGGCUCACCAAGGCCACGAUGCAUAGCCGACCUGAGAGGGUGAUCGGCCACACUGGGACUGAGACACGGCCCAGACUCCUACGGGAGGCAGCAGUAGGGAAUCUUCGGCAAUGGACUAAAGUCUGACCGAGCAACGCCGCGUGAGUGAAGAAGGUUUUCGGAUCGUAAAACUCUGUUGUUAGAGAAGAACAAGGACGUUAGUAACUGAACGUCCCCUGACGGUAUCUAACCAGAAAGCCACGGCUAACUACGU
This 507-nucleotide ribosomal RNA is filed under the name uncultured bacterium. RNAcentral describes it as "partial 16S ribosomal RNA". It matches the Rfam family "Bacterial small subunit ribosomal RNA", at positions 28 to 506 of the family's 1533-position model. The record is from RNAcentral.